AACGAACGCUGGCGGCAUGCCUAACACAUGCAAGUCGAACGAGACCUUCGGGUCUAGUGGCGCACGGGUGCGUAACGCGUGGGAACCUGCCCUUAGGUUCGGAAUAACUCCCCGAAAGGGGUGCUAAUACCGGAUAAUGUCUUCGGACCAAAGAUUUAUCGCCUUUGGAUGGGCCCGCGUUGGAUUAGCUAGUUGGUAGGGUAAAAGCCUACCAAGGCGACGAUCCAUAGCUGGUCUGAGAGGAUGAGCAGCCACACUGGGACUGAGACACGGCCCAGACUCCUACGGGAGGCAGCAGUGGGGAAUAUUGGACAAUGGGCGAAAGCCUGAUCCAGCAAUGCCGCGUGAGUGAUGAAGGCCUUAGGGUUGUAAAGCUCGUUUACCCGGGAUGAUAAUGACAGUACCGGGAGAAUAAGCGCCGGCUAACUCCGUG
RNAcentral lists this ribosomal RNA (433 nucleotides) under uncultured bacterium. RNAcentral describes it as "partial 16S ribosomal RNA". It matches the Rfam family "Bacterial small subunit ribosomal RNA", at positions 29 to 507 of the family's 1533-position model. The record is from RNAcentral.